Molecule: ribosomal RNA, 497 nt
Filed under: uncultured bacterium
Lineage: Bacteria
Description: partial 16S ribosomal RNA
Rfam family: Bacterial small subunit ribosomal RNA
Source: RNAcentral
GACGAACGCUGGCGGCGUGCCUAAUACAUGCAAGUUGAGCGCUGAAGGUUGGUACUUGUACCAACUGGAUGAGCAGCGAACGGGUGAGUAACGCGUGGGGAAUCUGCCUUUGAGCGGGGGACAACAUUUGGAAACGAAUGCUAAUACCGCAUAAAAACUUUAAACACAAGUUUUAAGUUUGAAAGAUGCAAUUGCAUCACUCAAAGAUGAUCCCGCGUUGUAUUAGCUAGUUGGUGAGGUAAAGGCUCACCAAGGCGAUGAUACAUAGCCGACCUGAGAGGGUGAUCGGCCACAUUGGGACUGAGACGCGGCCCAAACUCCUACGGGAGGCAGCAGUAGGGAAUCUUCGGCAAUGGACGAAAGUCUGACCGAGCAACGCCGCGUGAGUGAAGAAGGUUUUCGGAUCGUAAAACUCGGUUGGUAGAGAAGAACGUUGGUGAGAGUGGAAAGCUCAUCAAGUGACGGUAACUACCCAGAAAGGGACGGCUAACUACGUG